UCGGGCUGGUUCGUACAUGUUCGGGUUUGUUUUUUAUUUUUUUUAUCUGUACGUUCAAAACAAACAUUGCAUUAUUGAUCAAAAAAUUGUUGACCAAUGUUAUUUUAUAUUUUUUUAAGAGUAAAACAAAUGUACACAAAUAUUUCCUUGUUACUAAUUAUGAGAUUUUCAGGUAGCGUGUGGAGAUUUCAUCUUAUGUUCAUGAGCGCACAACGUAUAAAAUCAUAAGAAAUGUUUUCUGUUGGUGUGUAGCAGUUAACCGCAUUUAAGUAAAAAUAUUUUAAAAUAAUUUUUACCAGAGCUGAAUUACAUUCAGGUGAGUGCACUUAAUAUAAUUUGGGGUAUUGCAGGAAAAAUUAUAAAUUCCUAAAGUGUUUUUUCUUCCUGACAUGUUUAAAAUUAUUAUUCUCUAUGAGGGUUGUUUGAUACUGCAAGUAGUUUAUCAUGUUUAACAUGUGGAUAGGUUAGGAUUAUUUAUUACAAAUCUGUAAUAUUGAGAUACUGCCCUUGGGUUAGCAGGAUUAAAAAUACAGUGAAAUUUGUUAGGUUAGUAACAUUAUACGUACAGUGAUUCUAAGUACAGUGGAAUUUACAUUUGGUUAGCUUCGGAUAGCGCCAAUUAAAAAUUCUGUAAAAUCAAUUGAACGGUUGGAUGUUACUAACUUAAUCUAACCAACCAAUAUACAUUUUACAGUGAUUUUUUAAUUUAUCAUCUCACGUUGCUGCUUUUUGUAUGCAAAAUAAACUUUGGACACUUUUUUUUAAACUUUAAAUAUGUACCUGUAUUUACUCUGAAAAAGUUUUUCUAAAUUCAGACUGGGUUUUGAGAAAUCACUGUUUAUAGGUUACAUUACAUUACCUGUGCAGUAAAGGGCCUGUCACCAUGUUGUUCUUUAAUUGAGUUGCAGAUCCUGUUUUUUUUUAUACACAAAUUGUAUAUUUUUUAUUUGGAUAUUGCAAUGCAGAAACGUAAAUUAACACAUUAAAAAAGUUAUGUGACUCCUUAUUGUGCAUUCCAAACCCAAAGCAUCAGUCCUUGAGAGCGAUAUUUUUUAGCAGUUUAUAGGUGCAAAAUUCUGAUUUUUUACGUGAGACAACACAUAACCUGACAUAUAAAAUAAAUUUUCAUUUUGUAACAAAUGAUUCCUUUUAUAUGUCAGGUUACGUGCUAUUGCAGGUAACUAAUCUGCGCUUUGCGCCUCCAUACUGCUAUAAAAAAUCCCUGUCAAGGGUUGGCGUUUUGGUUUGGAUACACAUUAGAGACUCGUAACUUUUUUAAAACUAUUAUUUAUGUUUCAUUAGGUUAUAAUAUUCAAAUAAAAAAUAAAUACAUUCUUAUAUAUAUGGAAAACCACAGGAUCUGCAAUGCAAUUAGAGGGAAAAAUGGCGACAGCUGCUUCACUGCAUAAGCUAUCUAGUGUGACCUGCAAAAUGUGAUUUCUUGAAAACCAGUAGGAAUUAAGAAAAACUGUUUACAGUUUUAAUAGAGGAAGGUUUUUAGUGUCUGAAAAGGUAUUUUCAAAAUUUUAUAAUUUAAUUUAUGGAUAAGCAGCAACAAAAGAAAAUUACCUUUUUUUAAAUUUAGCUAACCAACCAUUCACAUGAUUUUACAAAUUUUGUAUUGUUUAUACUUACCUGCUUUAACAUUAAACUACUGUUAAACAAUUUAUUUCAAUUUUUUAAAAAUAUCUUUGGGAAUUAGCGCAGUAUAAUCAAAGACGUUUACUGUAUUGAUGAUUGAUUUACUUUAUUGAUGCACAACGAAGUUGUAUAAUUGUUGGAUUGGUUAAGCAAAUUCAAGCAUCAAGGGUACUGAUCAAUGGUUUUUAACAUUAUAUUUUCUUAAUGAGUCCAUUGGUAAAACGUUAAAACACUGGAAUGGCUAAAUUUCCAUCGACUGCUUAUGUUUUUUUCCGCAUGCUCACUUGAAAACAAUUACAGGGUUAUACUGUAGUUCACAGUUGCAAUACUUGGUUAGGUUAGUUACAUAAGUGCUGUUAAAUCAUGAAAAUGGUUAGGGAAAGGUAACUUCUUCAUAACUACUGUAAAAUGGUGUAAGCAAUUAUUCUUUAGGUAAGUUUUACCUAGACUUUAAAAAUAAUUUAUUUGGUGAAGUACAUAGUACUAAGAAUUACUAUUUAUCAAAUUUGGUUUGUGUGGAAAAGUUGUUACUCUAGGAAAUUUCUGAAUCCAUCUUUGUAGGAAUAUAAACUAAUAUUAUUAGAAACAAAAAAAAACAAUGUGUGGUAUAUUUUAAUUUUCUAACACCCUCUGAACUCUGCAGUUAUGCGAUUACCGAUAAUAAUUGUAAAUCAUUGCAAUAUACAUCCGACACAUUUUGUAGUGAUUUCACAACUGUACUAUGAAGUAAUGCCAUCGACUGCUGCAAAAUAACAUGCUGACAUCUAUUCUCGUGUAGGCAUUUUGUUGAUACGACUAAAAUAUGACCAUAUAGGAUAUAUAUAUAUAGAAUCUUACAAAUUUUGAUAACCUACCUACUAAUACUCUCCCCGAAGACUUUGGUUAGAUACUUAAAAAAAAAAAAAAAAACUGCUUAUGUGACAUGCAUUACGUGAAAUUAAUUCAACUUGUAAACAUUUUGCUUGAGUCAAAGCCUAGAUUUGCUUAAGCUAAUAACAAGCAAUUACAUCACUUGAGGCCCUGAGAAACAAACUUCUGAAAUUGUGUAGUUACUUGGAUUGUUAAAUACCUAGUUUUUCUGCAAUAAUGGGCACAAGAGCAAUAGAAUUAUGUUUUUCAUAUAAUUUUUUUCACAUAAAUGAGUUUUUGUCAAAAAGUAUUUGGAAAAAAAUAUCUGUUUGAAAGGACAAAGAAAAAUGUUAAUUGUAGUACAUAAAUGAGAAUUUACCAAAAUAUUGAAAGUAUCAAAUUUCUAACUAAAAUGGUUUUGAAAUUAAUUUAUCAUUCUCGUAUGCAUAACUUUUUUCUUUGAUACAUUUAUUUAUCAGUUUCAUUUCUCUUUAGUACAAUAUCUAUCAUUUAACUUUGAUUUCUUUUUUGUUUCAGGCUUGUGGAGAACAGCUUUUUUUUAUCUACUGUUUGGCUGGCCAAUGUAAAUAAACAAUGAUUUCAUGAAUGCAACGAGUUUAUUUGAUGUAUUUUAAAAUCACUGAUAAUAUUUAUUGAUGUAUUUUAAAAUUACUGAUAAUAUUUGUUUUGUGGCUGGAAGAUGGUAACCAUGGUGACUUGUGAAUUUUUAUGAAGAUUAAUAAAAAGCAGUAAAAAUUAUUAA
Bacillus rossius redtenbacheri is the source of this 3253-nucleotide long non-coding RNA. RefSeq lists it as uncharacterized. The record is from RefSeq and is a predicted model, not a curated record. The transcript is spliced from 2 exons. Lineage: Eukaryota; Metazoa; Arthropoda; Insecta; Phasmatodea; Bacillidae.